RNAcentral lists this ribosomal RNA (327 nucleotides) under Salmonella enterica subsp. enterica serovar 1,4,[5],12:i:-. Its description in RNAcentral is "partial 23S ribosomal RNA". It matches the Rfam family "Bacterial large subunit ribosomal RNA", at positions 1438 to 1765 of the family's 2925-position model. Lineage: Bacteria; Pseudomonadati; Pseudomonadota; Gammaproteobacteria; Enterobacterales; Enterobacteriaceae. The record is from RNAcentral.
CCCGUACUUGGUGUUACUGCGAAGGGGGGACGGAGAAGGCUAUGUUGGCCGGGCGACGGUUGUCCCGGUUUAAGCGUGUAGGUGUGUGUUCCAGGUAAAUCCGGUUCACUUUAACACUGAGGCGUGAUGACGAGGCACUACGGUGCUGAAGCAACAAAUGCCCUGCUUCCAGGAAAAGCCUCUAAGCAUCAGGUAACACGAAAUCGUACCCCAAACCGACACAGGUGGUCAGGUAGAGAAUACCAAGGCGCUUGAGAGAACUCGGGUGAAGGAACUAGGCAAAAUGGUGCCGUAACUUCGGGAGAAGGCACGCUGACACGUAGGUGA